UACGUAGGUGGCAAGCGUUGUCCGGAAUUACUGGGUGUAAAGGGAGCGUAGGCGGGAUCGCAAGUUGAAUGUUUAAACUAUCGGCUCAACCGGUAGUCGCGUUCAAAACUGCGGUUCUUGAGUGAAGUAGAGGCAGGCGGAAUUCCUAGUGUAGCGGUGAAAUGCGUAGAUAUUAGGAGGAACACCAGUGGCGAAGGCGGCCUGCUGGGCUUUAACUGACGCUGAGGCUCGAAAGCGUGGGGAGCAAACAGG
This 252-nucleotide ribosomal RNA is filed under the name uncultured prokaryote. Its description in RNAcentral is "partial 16S ribosomal RNA". It matches the Rfam family "Bacterial small subunit ribosomal RNA", at positions 524 to 776 of the family's 1533-position model. The record is from RNAcentral.